AAUGAACGCUGGCGGCGUGCCUAACACAUGCAAGUCGGAUGUGCCGCAAGGUGCAUGGCAGACGGGUGAGUAACGCGUAGGGAAUCUACCCUUUUGUGGGGAAUAACGCUCCGAAAGGAGUGGUAAUACCGCAUGAGACCGUGAGCUGGGAUGUUCACGGUGAAACCUGGGGACCGCAAGGCCUGGGGCAAAAAGAGGAUCCUGCGUCUGAUUAGCUAGUUGGCGGGGUAAUGGCCCACCAAGGCGACGAUCAGUAGCCGGCCUGAGAGGGUGAUCGGCCACACUGGAACCGAGACACGGUCCAGACUCCUACGGGAGGCAGCAGUGGGGAAUUUUGCGCAAUGGACGAAAGUCUGACGCAGCAACGCCGCGUGGGUGAUGAAGGUCUUCGGACUGUAAAACCCUGUCGUCAGGGACGAAGGUGGCAGUGUUAAUAGCGCUGUUACUCGACGGUACCUGGAGAGGAAGCCCCGGCUAACUCUGUG
Molecule: ribosomal RNA, 485 nt
Filed under: uncultured bacterium
Lineage: Bacteria
Description: partial 16S ribosomal RNA
Rfam family: Bacterial small subunit ribosomal RNA
Source: RNAcentral